This 293-nucleotide long non-coding RNA is filed under the name Nicotiana benthamiana. RNAcentral describes it as "long non-coding RNA (NBEN_LNC033218)". Lineage: Eukaryota; Viridiplantae; Streptophyta; Magnoliopsida; Solanales; Solanaceae. The record is from RNAcentral.
CCGCUGCACUAACCGGCAUCCCUCUCUCUCAGCGCCUUCUCUCCGGCGUCUUGCCGCGCUACCGCUGCACUAACCGGCAGCCCUCUCUCUCUCAACGUCGAUCAGCGCCUCCUCUGCCUCGCGCUUCAUGGCCGCUACGACGUCCAACGAUCUUCUCCAGCCGAUUGCCAUCAAUGCAUCGACUCAGGCGUCUUGCCGCGCGGCCGCUGCACUAACCGGCAUCCCUCUCUCUCAGCGCCUUCUCUCCGGCGUCUUGCCGCGCUACCGCUGCACUAACCGGCAGCCCUCUCUCU